UCUCCGGGGGUAGAGCACUGUUUCGGCUAGGGGGCCAUCCCGGCUUACCAACCCGAUGCAAACUGCGAAUACCGGAGAAUGUUAUCACGGGAGACACACGGCGGGUGCUAACGUCCGUCGUGAAGAGGGAAACAACCCAGACCGCCAGCUAAGGUCCCAAAGUCAUGGUUAAGUGGGAAACGAUGUGGGAAGGCCCAGACAGCCAGGAUGUUGGCUUAGAAGCAGCCAUCAUUUAAAGAAAGCGUAAUAGCUCACUGGUCGAGUCGGCCUGCGCGGAAGAUGUAACGGGGCUAAACCAUGCACCGAAGCUGCGGCAGCGACGCUGAUGCGUUGUUGGGUAGGGGAGCGUUCUGUAAGCCUGUGAAGGUGGCCUGUGAGGGUUGCUGGAGGUAUCAGAAGUGCGAAUGCUGACAUAAGUAACGAUAAAGCGGGUGAAAAGCCCGCUCGCCGGAAGACCAAGGGUUCCUGUCCAACGUUAAUCGGGGCAGGGUGAGUCGACCCCUAAGGCGAGGCCGAAAGGCGUAGUCGAUGGGAAACGGGUUAAUAUUCCCGUACUUGGUGUUACUGCGAAGGGGGGACGGAGAAGGCUAUGUUGGCCGGGCGACGGUUGUCCCGGUUUAAGCGUGUAGGUGUGUGUUCCAGGUAAAUCCGGUUCACUUUAACACUGAGGCGUGAUGACGAGGCACUACGGUGCUGAAGCAACAAAUGCCCUGCUUCCAGGAAAAGCCUCUAAGCAUCAGGUAACAUCAAAUCGUACCCCAAACCGACACAGGUGGUCAGGUAGAGAAUACCAAGGCGCUUGAGAGAACUCGGGUGAAGGAACUAGGCAAAAUGGUGCCGUAACU
RNAcentral lists this ribosomal RNA (845 nucleotides) under Salmonella enterica. RNAcentral's name for it is "partial 23S ribosomal RNA". It matches the Rfam family "Bacterial large subunit ribosomal RNA", at positions 893 to 1735 of the family's 2925-position model. Lineage: Bacteria; Pseudomonadati; Pseudomonadota; Gammaproteobacteria; Enterobacterales; Enterobacteriaceae. The record is from RNAcentral.